AACUUUCAACAACGGAUCUCUUGGUUCUGGCAUCGAUGAAGAACGCAGCAAAAUGCGAUAAGUAGUGUGAAUUGCAGAAUUCAGUGAAUCAUCGAAUCUUUGAACGCACAUUGCGCCCCUUGGUAUUCCAUGGGGCAUGCCUGUUCGAGCGUCAUUGACACCCCUCAAGCUCUGCUUGGUGUUGGGGCCGUUGUCGUUUCCUCGCCCCCCAGCGACACAGCGACACCCCUCAAAGUCAUUGGCGGCCUUUCUGCCCAGCUUCCCGCGCAGCAGUUCGCGCUUCGGAGACUACUUUGGCAGGCUGGCAUCCAUCAAGCUGACCCUUCAUGCUUGACCUCGGAUCAGGUAGGGAUACCCGCUGAACUUAAGCAUAUCAAUAAGCGGAGGAAAAGAAACCAACUGGGAUUGCCCUAGUAACGGCGAGUGAAGCGGCAACAGCUCAAAUUUGAAAUCUGGCCCCUUUGGGGUCCGAGUUGUAAUUUGCAGAGGGUGCUUUGGCGUUGGCGGCGGUCUAAGUUCCUUGGAACAGGACAUCGCAGAGGGUGAGAAUCCCGUAUGUGGUCGCAUGCCUUCGCCGUGUAAAGCCCCUUCGACGAGUCGAGUUGUUUGGGAAUGCAGCUCUAAAUGGGAGGUAAAUUUCUUCUAAAGCUAAAUACUGGCCAGAGACCGAUAGCGCACAAGUAGAGUGAUCGAAAGAUGAAAAGCACUUUGGAAAGAGAGUCAAACAGCACGUGAAAUUGUUGAAAGGGAAGCGCUUGCAGCCAGACUUGCUCGCAGUUGCUCAUCCGGGCCCUUGCCCGGUGCACUCUUCUGCGGGCAGGCCAGCAUCAGUUCGGGCGGCUGGAUAAAGGCCUCUGUCAUGUAUCUUCCUUCGGGAUGACCUUAUAGGGGAGGCGUAAUGCAGUCAGCCCGGACUGAGGUCCGCGCAUCUGCUAGGAUGCUGGCGUAAUGGCUGUAAGCGGCCCGUCUUGAAACACGGACCAAGGAGUCUAACAUCUAUGCGAGUGUUUGGGUAUCAAACCCGAGCGCGCAAUGAAAGUGAACGGAGGUGGGAACCCUCGGGUGCACCAUCGACCGAUCUUGAUGUCUUCGGAUGGAUUUGAGUAAGAGCAUAGCUGUUGGGACCCGAAAGAUGGUGAACUAUGCUUGAAUAGGGUGAAGCCAGAGGAAACUCUGGUGGAGGCUCGCAGCGGUUCUGACGUGCAAAUCGAUCGUCAAAUUUGGGCAUAGGGGCGAAAGACUAAUCGAACCAUCUAGUAGCUGGUUCCUGC
RNAcentral lists this unclassified non-coding RNA (1271 nucleotides) under uncultured Pleosporales. RNAcentral's name for it is "sequence contains 5.8S rRNA gene, ITS2, 28S rRNA gene". The stretch from base 332 to 1271 matches the Rfam family "Eukaryotic large subunit ribosomal RNA", at positions 1 to 961 of the family's 3401-position model. The record is from RNAcentral. Lineage: Eukaryota; Fungi; Ascomycota; Dothideomycetes; Pleosporales.